This 497-nucleotide ribosomal RNA is filed under the name uncultured bacterium. RNAcentral's name for it is "partial 16S ribosomal RNA". It matches the Rfam family "Bacterial small subunit ribosomal RNA", at positions 28 to 507 of the family's 1533-position model. The record is from RNAcentral.
GAUGAACGCUGGCGGCGUGCCUAAUACAUGCAAGUCGAGCGAACGGACGAGAAGCUUGCUUCUCUGAUGUUAGCGGCGGACGGGUGAGUAACACGUGGAUAACCCACCUAUAAGACUGGGAUAACUUCGGGAAACCGGAGCUAAUACCGGAUAAUAUUUUGAACCGCAUGGUUCAAAAGUGAAAGACGGUCUUGCUGUCACUUAUAGAUGGAUCCGCGCUGCAUUAGCUAGUUGGUAAGGUAACGGCUUACCAAGGCAACGAUGCAUAGCCGACGUGAGAGGGUGAACGGCCACACUGGAACUGAGACACGGUCCAGACUCCUACGGGAGGCAGCAGUAGGGAAUCUUCCGCAAUGGGCGAAAGCCUGACGGAGCAACGCCGCGUGAGUGAUGAGGGUCUUCGGAUCGUAAAACUCUGUUAUUAGGGAAGAACAUAUGUGUAAGUAACUGUGCACAUCGUGACGGUACCUAAUCAGAAAGCCACGGCUAACUACGUG